RNAcentral lists this ribosomal RNA (237 nucleotides) under uncultured Bacillota bacterium. RNAcentral describes it as "uncultured Firmicutes bacterium partial 16S ribosomal RNA". It matches the Rfam family "Bacterial small subunit ribosomal RNA", at positions 96 to 334 of the family's 1533-position model. The record is from RNAcentral. Lineage: Bacteria; Bacillati; Bacillota.
CGGCGGACGGGUGAGUAACGCGUGGGUAACCUGCCUUAUACAGGGGGAUAACAGUUAGAAAUGACUGCUAAUACCGCAUAAGCGCACAGUACCGCAUGGUAGUGUGUGAAAAACUCCGGUGGUAUAAGAUGGACCCGCGUCUGAUUAGCCAGUUGGCGGGUAACGGCCCACCAAAGCGACGAUCAGUAGCCGACCUGAGAGGGUGACCGGCCACAUUGGGACUGAGACACGGCCCAA